AUGAUAAACAACAUACAGAAGAACGGGAUGUGUAUCUAUAUAUAAGAAAUUAAAUAAUAAAAAU
This 64-nucleotide non-coding RNA is filed under the name Trypanosoma lewisi. Lineage: Eukaryota; Euglenozoa; Kinetoplastea; Trypanosomatida; Trypanosomatidae. The record is from RNAcentral.